GGUGGCUCAGAGGUAGAGUGCUUGCCUUGCAUGCAGGAGGCCCUGGGUUUGAUUCCUCAGCACCA
This 65-nucleotide transfer RNA is filed under the name Dipodomys ordii (Ord's kangaroo rat). It matches the Rfam family "tRNA". Rfam says of the family: Transfer RNA (tRNA) molecules are approximately 80 nucleotides in length. Their secondary structure includes four short double-helical elements and three loops (D, anti-codon, and T loops). Further hydrogen bonds mediate the characteristic L-shaped molecular structure. tRNAs have two regions of fundamental functional importance: the anti-codon, which is responsible for specific mRNA codon recognition, and the 3' end, to which the tRNAs corresponding amino acid is attached (by aminoacyl-tRNA synthetases). tRNAs cope with the degeneracy of the genetic code in two manners: having more than one tRNA (with a specific anti-codon) for a particular amino acid; and 'wobble' base-pairing, i.e. permitting non-standard base-pairing at the 3rd anti-codon position. Lineage: Eukaryota; Metazoa; Chordata; Mammalia; Rodentia; Heteromyidae. The record is from Rfam by way of RNAcentral.